CAGGCGCCAAGCAGUAUCCUCUGGGCUGCUAAUUUGCUGGACACACAGAGCCCUGUUCCAUAACCUCCCCCUAGGUUGUGGGGACUUACAUCCCCAACCAGCAGGAGAUAGAGAACUUGCUAGACUUCAUGAAGACCACAGAAACACAAAGCUCUGGCUGGAAGUUUUCUCCCAAUAGGACAUCAGGGAGGAGAAAGUGAAAGUCCUGUGGAAGUUUUUUACUUGACUUGGUGGAAGAAAUAAAACUGGGAUAGAGCUCCAUGUGUCUAUCCAGACCACUGACAGUAAAAGAUGAGAAUGGUGCCACUCAUUCGAGGACCACCUGCUCUCAUGACUACAUCAUGAUAAACUGGGACAGGAGCAGCUCUCCAAGAGAGAAAAUCCAGAGACUGGGCUGCUCUGCAGGGAAGAAAACCCAGAAAAGAAUCCAACACCACUGGAGAACAAUUCAGGACAUAGCCACCAGGUUCCAGAUGCCAGCAUGAUGCCUACCAGACUUUCCUGGACAAACGACCCCACCAAUGUGUCCUGCAGCUCUGCUUCCCCAGAGACCCACCCUACUAGGGAAAGAGAAAGGCAGACUGAGAGUAUGGAUCGACAAGUCAUCGUCCAUGUUCAGCGGGGAAGCAAUUACAGAAGCCAGACCUUCCACCUUCUGCAACUCACAAUGACCUUGGUUCCAUAUUCCCAGAGAGAUAAAGAAUGGGAAAGCUAUCAGGGGAGGGAAUGGGAUAUGGAGAUCUGGUGGUGGUAAUUGUGUGGAGUUGUACCCCUCCUAUCCUACGGUUUCCUUAAUGUCUCCUUUUUAAAAUAAAUAAA
Molecule: long non-coding RNA, 819 nt
Organism: Erinaceus europaeus (western European hedgehog)
Lineage: Eukaryota; Metazoa; Chordata; Mammalia; Eulipotyphla; Erinaceidae
Exons: 5
Source: RefSeq, a predicted model, not a curated record